This 302-nucleotide long non-coding RNA is filed under the name Ananas comosus (pineapple). RNAcentral's name for it is "long non-coding RNA (ACOM_LNC038613)". The record is from RNAcentral. Lineage: Eukaryota; Viridiplantae; Streptophyta; Magnoliopsida; Poales; Bromeliaceae.
AUUUAAAAAUUCAAAUUCAAAUAUAAUAAGAGGGUAAUAUUAUUAUUUUUUAUUUAUAAAACCCACUAUCCUUCUUAAUCCAUCUUACCUAACCAAACGCUAUUUUUUUUAUUCCCAAGAAUAACCUAAUUUUUAUCCAAACGCAAAAUUGAUCUAAUCCCCGCUUAUACCUCAAUUUAUACUUAUCCCUGUAAUAGCUACUUUUUGCUUAUCCCUGAACUAAACGAUACCUAAUAUCAUAAAUGUUAUGAUAUUAAAGUAUACAUGAUUGGAUCAUAUUUUAUAAAUAAAAUUUAUUUCCG